UUUUAAUUAAGUCCUAAACAUUGUUUUUAAUAUUUACAGGGUACAGCGCAAAUAGUCUGAACUUUCAGAUUUAUUUGCUGGAGGGACUAAACAGGUGGAUCCAGGACCGGGAGGCUGCUUCCUUGGCAUCUGAACCAUCAGCUUUACGCAGCUACACAGGAGAACUUGUUUACUGUGUAAACUGCAACUUUGAAAAGCUGUUUGGGAGAAAAGUGGUGCCCAACUUUUGUCCGCCUGCACGUUACACUGGUGAGCUCAUUGGAGUGCAGUAUCUGUUCCAGCAGACUGGUCAGGCACUGCAGAACAUGAACCCAGACUGCUGAGCUCAUUGAGGAUCUCAAUGUGGAUGAGCGAGAAGAAGAUGAGGGCUUCUGUGACAUCAGUGAGGAUCACACUAUUGUUGAUCCGGAGGCUGCUCUGUCACCAUCCUCCUCCACAUUGAGAUCGGGUUCCUCCACUGCAGUCACCAGCAGUGUCGCUUCUUUGCCAGUCUCCACAUGCCCUGCACUGGUCCCUGAC
Danio rerio (zebrafish) is the source of this 519-nucleotide non-coding RNA. The record is from RefSeq and is a predicted model, not a curated record. Lineage: Eukaryota; Metazoa; Chordata; Actinopteri; Cypriniformes; Danionidae.